GGAUGUGAGGGCAAUCUGGCUGCAACAUCCGUCACCCCGGUGAUUGCUAGGGUUGAUUCGGCUGAUCUGGUCGAGUAGGUGGGUGUCCCUUUCCUCCCUCACCGCUCCAUGUGCAUCCCUCCCUUGGUCAAAGAGGACAACCAUCCCACAUAGAAGGAGAGGCAUUUCCUUGGUCAAGGCCAUAAAGCAACUGCACUCCCCUGCUAGAACCUCCAAAUAAUCUGUCAUAGAAAAGGAGGGAGUUCAUCAGGUCCUCUAAAUUAUACUGAUGAUAUAAUCCAAUUA
Molecule: unclassified non-coding RNA, 285 nt
Organism: Fukomys damarensis (Damara mole-rat)
Lineage: Eukaryota; Metazoa; Chordata; Mammalia; Rodentia; Bathyergidae
Gene: 7SK
Rfam family: 7SK RNA
About the family: 7SK was discovered as an abundant small nuclear RNA in the mid-70s but a possible function has only recently been suggested. Two independent studies have found that 7SK RNA binds the CDK9/cyclin T complex (known as elongation factor P-TEFb).
Source: Ensembl